This is a long non-coding RNA of Canis lupus familiaris (dog), 8915 nucleotides long. RefSeq lists it as uncharacterized. The transcript has 6 exons. The record is from RefSeq and is a predicted model, not a curated record. Lineage: Eukaryota; Metazoa; Chordata; Mammalia; Carnivora; Canidae.
AGCUUACCCAUGGAACCACCACCAUGCUGUGAAGAAGCCCAAGCCACAUGCUGAAGCCACAUGGGGAGGAGCUGGGACUCCACUAACUGCCAGCAUCCAGCUGCAAGAUAUCCUGCCCUUCAGAAAAAUCUCACAACCUUCACUGGAUGUCUUCAAUCCAUGACUGGAACAAGAACUUACUCUCUCGUUAGCCAGGGAAUGAAUGAAAGCCCCCAGAUCAGAGAGGGCUUCUGUCUCACACAACUCCUCAGAAAGUCAAGACGUAUGGACUCCCUGGGACCCCCCCCCCCAAAACAAAUAAGGCACUCAUCCCUCUGUUUCCCAAACAAAUGUUUGUAUUGUCCGUCACUAUGGGUGCCAUCUUGUUUUCCUCAUAAACUGGGUGCUUCCAGGACAAAAGUGAUGUGGGGAGAAAAAGACAUUUCCAAACAGCACCUGCAUCAUCCAAUCUAAAAAUAAACCAAGUAGAACUGGUUUUAGGAGUGAUGCCACUGCUAAAAAUAAUGCUUACAUGUAUAAUGACAUCAGCAGGUAACCAGCCUGGAACCUGCAGGGCCCCGGUGUCUACUGGCAUGGUGAGCUCCUGCCUGCUUUCCGAGGUGGAUCAAUUCAUCCUCACCCUCCUCCCACCUGGCCUUCAUUCCAGGAGCCCGGGGCUGGACCUACUGAAUUCAAGGGAAAGGGCUGGCUGAACAGAGGGAAGCUCUGGAUUUAGAGCUUUCAUUAAAAAGUAAUAUGGACUUUCUAUUUCAAGAACAGAAUGUCUAAUAGUGUUGCCAGGGAGAAGCUCUCCAGGACCUGCUUUAAUGGUAAAUACAAAUGGUUGUAAUUAGCAUAUUAAUAGCGGUUUGAUUUCUAACACUGUAUGAAAGCAUCUCUCCAGCCUCUUUAUAAUACUAUCUGCUUGGAGGUAAUUACAGAACAGAGACAGAGCACUGGAGUACAGAGGCUCCUCUCCCCAGAUUGGCUGCAGCGAAGUUUCCAGAUCAAGCACAUGGAGGCAUGGAGAGGGGCUGAUCCCACCUCUUGCAUCCAUUUUUGCCCUAAGCUUCUUUCCACGGUCUGACAACCUGAUUCCCAAGAAGUAAAAACAGAACAUUUCAGGCCCCAAAGAACCCAAAUCCCAGCAGAGAGGCCUUCACAUGAACAAGGACUGACCUAUGAACCAGUCCCAGAACGACUUUGGCCAUCUCACAAGAGCAUCACUGAUUUUUAAAGAACUCUCCAAACUUGAUAUUCCUGGCAACCAGCCAGCAUGCACUCCUGAGAGCCGAGAAGUGAAAAAGCAAACUCACACCCCCAGGGCCUAGAGGCAGGGGAUGAGGCAGGAGGUGUGAUGACCGUGGUUUCCAGGUCUCACACUUGCCCGUGAGCUGCACAGAACACCCCACACCCACUCUGGGGCUUGCGAGCACCAUGCUGGGCUCUAAAUCACAGCCCAGAAUUCAGUUCUGGGCUGCAGUGAAAAGCUGGCUCUGUGGCUCCUGCUCUAAUUGCACUGGAGGGUGGAAGGUUGGGGAGCUGGACUGGUUUAUACUCAAGAGUGGUUCUUGUCCUUUCAGAGGGGCUGAUGGGAUGGCAGGCAGGGGCCGCCUCAGGCAGCCUAAUUACUGCAACUCUACACUCCAAUUAAACACCAAAUAAAUGUGCUGAACAAUCCACAACAGACCAAGCUUGCUGGGGCCACUGCAGAAGCAAGUUCCCGUUCAGAGGAGGCUUUUUCUUCUCUACUCAACUGCUGUCCCCUCUAUCACCUCAAACCAAGAGCAGCUCACUCUACUGGAACCACCUUGAAGACAGGACUUUUGUCCUUCAUGCAUGUAUGCCUAGCACACAGCAGGCAGCCUCCCUCAUAACCAAAGCUGGCCAAUGAGAUGAAGACAAGCUGUUAGGUUCAGCUUCCAGAAAAGCUCUGCAAAGUCCUCUCAUUGUACAUCUAUCCUUUUCCUUCUUCCUUUUUUUUUUUUUUUUUCCUGCCGUGAACAAGAAUGUGAUGUGAUGGCUAGAGCUGCAUCAGCCAUUUUACACCAUGAGGUAUUUGGCAGACCAGAGAGAUAGAAGGAGCCUGGGUCCUUGGUGACAAAGAACAGCCAACCCACAGCCUACUUCAAGACUUCAUUAUGCUAGGAAAAAAUAUGGUGUUCAAACCAUCCAGCCAAUUACCAUGAGUAUUUAAUCCAUGGGAUCCCUUGCUAAAUCCUACCCCUCAGUUAAAGCUGUCCUCCUCCCACCCUAGGGAGGAAAUAAUUACUUCUUUAUUUGACCAACUGCAGUACCUUGUCACAUAAGAGUGGUUAAGAAUUUAUUAUCAGGAGUCAGCCCAGAGUGCAAAUCCAAGUUCUUCCAUUCACUAGCCAGCCACGUGACUUCAGGCAAAUCAUUUCACCUCGUUCAGACACUGUUUCAUCAGCUUAUCAGUUGAGAUGGUAACACUACCACAUUCCAGAGUUUUCUGAGGCUUGGAGGACAAUAGAAGCAAAGCCCCUGGCAUUCCAUCAGCACACGACAAACAUGACUUUAACUUUUCCAGUCAUCAGCCAUUGGUGAGCUACGAAUUUUGUCGCCAUAAUCUAUCACCUGCAAUUCUUCCUAUUCUUCUAGUAUUUACCUGAUAUUUUCUUUAACCUGGGUGUUAACUGACCCUUCCUCCCACCUGCUGGGAAGUUAUUGCUGUGGUUACUGUUUAUUUUUUUAUGAUAUACAUUUUAAAAAAUGCAUAACCAUAGUUCACUGGGCUACCUACAAUCAUCACACACGAAGAGGCAUCCCUGCCACCCUUCCUAAUGUCAUUCUGAUUACUGAGGCAUGAGAUGCACAGACAUCUUCUAUCCCUGUCAACCAGGCUCCUUGAAGACGGGGCCUGGACAGUACUUGUCUCCCAGCAUCUGUGACUUAGAGGAAGCCCACUGAGUAUCUGCCUCAUGACAGGAGAAAAUUCUCUUGCAACCAUAUCAGAGACCUGGACAGAGAGCACAGCCAAAUUCCAUUCCAGCAUAUUCUGAGGGGCAUCCAAAUUCUUCUGCUGUGCCGGGUGCAUGUUCCACAAAAAAAAUUACACGUAAGAAGUGGCUGUCAGCAAAGGAGUCUGCAAUUGCUUCCACAAACAUUUCCAUGAAUUUUCAAUGGCUCUUGCUGUAAUGGGAUUUGAUCCAUCUCGUGGCGCCCUGGAGAGACCCGUACUGGCCAGUGAAAUGUGGCAGGGACUACAGGGAAUAGGGAUCCUUCUCUGAACUAGACAAAAAAGACCUUCUGAAGGAGCUUUGUACCACCUCGACAGCUGAAUACAUUCUUGCAAAAUAUUUCCAUCAGGGAGCACGGUCCUUAUGCAGAGCAAGAGGUGGUGACAUUCUGGAAACACUGGAUACCAAAUAAAAUGUGAGCUGUGACAAGGAUGCAGCAGGACCCAGCUUCUGGGUUAGAGACAUUUUUUUAAUGAUGGAAAUGUUUUGAUGGAAAAUAGUGCACUUGGCCUGUUAAGAAGUAACCAAGCAAAAUGUUUUGGGGCAUAAGUAAAAUGUUUUAUUUGGCAAAUUCAUGCCAAUUCAGACUGGAAGGUAACUCACUUUUCCUACCACCUCAACCUUCUGUGGCCAAAUGGCAGACUGAAAAAAAUGAGACAGGUGUAGGCAGCAGGCUACAUGGGACCACAGGGCCAGAGACCUACAUGCAGAAGGUUCUGGAGCUAGAGGAUUCCCCACUUGGUGGUUAGUUCGUCCAGCAGGAACAAGCUGGGCCCUCUAGCCCCAUCUACCCUAUGUCCCCACCCCAUCUUGGAUGAGAUGCUGGGUGGUGGUCACAAUUACAUGUAAGCCCCGAGAGGUAGCAGUAAAUAGACACAUCCAGGCCUUGCCUGCAACUUCUGGAACCCCAAUCUGUAAAAUAAGAACGAAAAUACCACUUCCCACAGGACUGCUGGGGGAUGACGUUCGCUCAGCGUGAAGAAAGCUUUGCAAGCUGCACAGCACCCCACAGCCUCCACGGGGCUUGAGCAGGCACACACACUCAGAACAACAGCCAGUGGCAUGGGGCCUGAGUGAGUCCCACAGGCGGGUGGUGGUUUUGAGGAUCACAGGAAACCCUGGAACUCGGAAGCAUAGGAGCCAGUAGCUGAAUUGGUGUAGGAAGGGAGAGCUAGCUUUCACCAUAUUCAGACCUAACUGGAAAAAUAACCGUCUACUGUCCAAAGACCCUAGAAAGGCUGUCAGCAGGACAGCAGAGAGACAGACCCAUGCCCACAGCCAAUGAUCAUCUUGGGGGCGCUAGCGGCAGGGCCAUCCCUGAGCACAAUGGGGCACAGGAAGUGUCUGAGUUGCCAUGCAUGGAGACCCCAGGAGGUGUUACUUAUUUACACUAGGGCACAGGUGAGGAACUACUUUCUGAAAGUGAUAGAUUUGCCCAAGUCCAUUUGGCAAGUGGCAGAGCAAAGGAACCUAGUCUGGUUUAAAGACACUGCUUUCCUUUCAGAACCAUUGGAAAUAUGGUUUGACAUUGCAUCCCUUCAGCCCACCUCCCAAAGCCAUGCCCCUGCCUGUAGGUGCUGUCUUCCUUUUGUCUGCAGCUUUGUAACACUGAAGCCCAAAGAGGACCAGCCUCGGCCCACUGCUAACCCAGCCCGCCAGCUCCCUCUCUGUGUCCUUCCCACACCAGCUCUUCUCUGAACUCAGCAAAUGGACUGUUCAACCUCUCCGCCUAAAGCUCAUUCUCUCCAAUUCGCUCUUUUGAUGGUGCAGGCAGGAGGCAUUGGGGAGUGGAAGACGGUGGGGGAUUGCUCACCUCUCAUCUCUUGCCAACAUCUCAAAAACUCUGUCUCCUGCUGGUGGCCGGGACUUCAAGAGCAGCCCUCCUGUGGUGGCGAAGGGAGUGAGCAGAGCUGCCCUGUCAUCUGCUCCCCCUUCAUCCCGCCCCCCAACACACACACACUAUUUAUACCUCUCAAUCGAGCUAGCUCCUUUUUUGGACAAUGUCACCGUUUUGGCUCACUGUGGAUGCUCCGUCAUUGUGUCUCUUUACCAGGAAGGGAGAAGCACAGCAAAGCAACAAAAGUAGUUGGCCUGUCACCAGUGCUAUAACCGGUGACGUCUGAUUCCCCUCCAGGACACCUUCCGAUGGCCCAUCUAGCCACCAUCUGAUCUCAGACAGUUUCUCCAAAACGGGGGAGCUGCCCAGCUGUGCCCAGCUGGGCAACCUCAGGCCCCCUCUGGGCUGGUUGUUCCACAGCUAAUUUCAUAGAGGCACAUUCCAUCUUCCGGCCUGAGUAACUCCACCUUGCAGAGCCCUGGGGCAGGCCCUGGCCUAGUGCCGCCCAGCACAACGACAGCCUGUCACAAUACCUUCACAAUACCUUCGGCCCCUACAUUGCUCGAGGCCAGCAGGGAAGGUGCCAAUUUGCCCACUCUGCAGAGAGGAGGAACAGAACUCUAACACACCUGCUUCCCAGGUGGAGCAGGAAGCUUUUUCACCUUUUCACUGGUGAGGUACUGAUUUAUUUAUUGCUCGCUGACAUCCCAAAAGGAUCCACAGCAUUUCCCAAUAAAAGCACAUUUCAAUUGUUCCAUGAAAGACAAAGAACAGGAAAUAAGCAGUGAAGAGGGAGGAAAGAAUAAAAUGAGCUCCCUCCAGGACUUCUGACAAAGGAGAGCUAUGCUUUCAGCAUGAAACCCGGCUGCGGGCUUCCCAGCAGUUUGAACAAAGAGAGAUGCAGGUCAGUGUCUCCGGGUCAGAGUCCCAGACACCCUUGUUUCCCCUGACACCCGUUGAGGUGAGAGGGCUACAAGAUAGCCAGAUGAAGUAUCCUCCGGUGAUGGGCAGUCUCACACAUGCACACAUAAUAAGAGGGUGAGUCACCAAUGCCAGGCUGGGUCCUAUCAACAAGAGGGAAGCCCUGCAGACUUUUCCAGUAGGCUGAACAGCAACAGAUAGAGCACAGUGGAGGCUCCUCUCAGGGCCUUGCCCAGAGUGAGCUGAAGGGAUUCGUGGCUGGGACUGACCAUCACCUCCUACCCCACCAUUUCUGAGUUGUCUGAGGUCCCUCCUGCCUGAAGGUGGAGGAACGGCAGGACCUGGCAACUAGCACCCGCAGGAGAACCAAGAAACAAAGCUCUGAACUGAACAGGACUGUUGCCGACAGGGACGAUGGCGAAGAGCAGUGACAAAGCAGUGCCAUGUCUGAGUGCUCACAGUGUGCCAGGCUCUCGGCAGAGCCCCACUUGUUCAUCAUAUCCUUGCGACACUACUAUAGCAGCCAAGGAAAUUGAGGACUGAGAAGAUAAAUCACUUGUCCAAAGUCACAGUCAGUAAGGAAUAGUGCCUGGCUCUAACCCAGGUCCCUCUGACACCACAGCUCAGGUUCCUUACUCUUGACGGUGCUGGGUUAGCCCUUCAGUAGCUCUGCCCCUAAGGUAGAAGCACAGUGCCUAUAGCGGCCAAGCGCUCCCAGGCUGUUGACACCCAAGCCUUAUGAGGGAGUCUUUUGGCAAAGCCAUUCCCUGUGCCCUGCCCUGCCCCAGGCUGGGCUUGGCCAAAGUCCCAGAGCUGCAUCUCUUCCGUGUACAUCUCUGCCCGGCCAGUCAGGCUCUGACAGCCAGAGGAGCCAGCAUGACCACUAGAAGCAUGCACCCCUCUCAAUCCUCUCCUGCCUCCCCCUCAGGGAGAACAAAAAACAUCUGAGCAAGGAAAGAAAAUCAAUAUUCUAAAAGGGCCUGGUGUAGAGGUGACACUUAUGUUGGGGACUGGGGAGAGCGGCACCAGCAGAUCCAGGCUCUACCUCCAGAAGCUGCAGUCAAGUGGACGAUGGAGAUCAGUCAUCAGACAAGAGGACCAAACUCAGGCCCAGGGAGGUCAUGAGAGAGGGCUUCCUGGAGGAAGGGACCUGUAAGGUUUAGUGCAUUAUCAAGCAGAAUUAGGAAAGUGUGUCUGGUGAAGGCAUGGAGAAGGGAGGAAAUGUGAAGGAGUGGCUGAGUCAAGGGACAGGUAGGAGGGGGUAAGCCGGAGCAGCAAGCAAGGGCAGGUAAGGCAGGGCCCAGUCAGCUUGGAUAAGAGCUUUGGGUUCCAUCCUGAUCUUGAUGGAAAGCCAUUAGCAGGUGGUGGCUCGAUUAUAUGACAUUUUAGAAUGAGCUUCCUGGCCGCUGGAUGGAGCAUGGUCAGACAAGGGUAAGCCUGGAUGGAGCUGAGGACAGAGGUGACACAGGAGUCCAGGCAGGAGAGGUGGCCAGGGUGAGGGGAGACAGUAGGGGUGAGGAGAGAAGAGCCGACUCCAGAGAUAGUGGGGAUGCAGAGUUGCCCGGGACUGGAAAGGGACCCGCCAUGUGUCCUGGGAAGGAGAGGGGAGGCUCCCAGGUCUCUGGGCAGUAGGAGGGAAGGUGGUGACUUUCACCAAGAUCAGAUAUAGGGGCAGCUUUAGAAGAAAGGGUCACAGUUCAUCAGGGCGACAGGAAAGCUACUUUAGCCACUUGUCCUACUGUCGGGUCACCUGACCACACUGAGAAGAGCCAGCAACAGAUCGCUGAGAGCUUUACAAAGCGUUUCCUGCCAGGAACUCCUGUGGCCACCCGAUCAUCCCCGAAGGUAAGGAUUGCUGGGUCCCCAUUUCAGAGAUGACCAGAUUGAACUUAAGUGACUUUCUCAAGGCCACAGAAUCAAGGAGGAGGAACAAGAACCUCGGUCUUCUGCCUCUCAGUCCAGUGGGGAAUCGACAGCCGUAUAUUCCCAUUUAGAAUGCUAUCUGACUUCUAUGCAGGGAGACAAAUGACAGAGGAGACAAUUCUCUCUCUAUAAGCAGAACAGACUACGCCAGGGCCACAGACCAAAACGUUCAUAGUGGCUAUCGUACUGGCAAUUUUUAUUUUCCCCUUUCUAGAUUCUAUUUCGAAAAUUUCAUCAAUGGAUGUAUUUUCUUUUUGUGAGGAGAAAAAGAACAAACAGAUAAUUCCAAAAAUAAUCUUGAAAGAUGAUAUAAGGACAAGCACAACCAUGAAACAGAGAAAACAAACACCGGCGCUCUAAAGGUUUCUCGAUUUUCGCAUUUUCCUUUCUAACACUGGCUGGAAGGAGUCAACAGGAACCCGUGCCCACAGGAGCUCUUUAGGGGAUAAAUUGUUUGUUGUUGUUCUUUGGUUAUUUUAUUUUUUUUAAUUUAAACGUUUAUACUGGCCCCAAAUAGCCUUCCACCCACAUUUUCUCUUCUCACUCUCUCGGGUGCUAGCUCCGCGGUCCUCAGAACAAGGGGUGUUUAAUGCACUGAGACAGAUGCUGGGGGACAGGCUGCCAAGGUGUUGCUGAACAGACGGAGCCCGGGAAAUAAAUUCCGUAAAUAGAGUCUGGGCAGAGACCAUUAAAAGUGUUGUCCUAGUGUCUCUUUAUGGGGCAGAACGUUGUCAUGCUCAGACUGCUGCAGGUCAGCUGGCCUCUUGUGCUGCUUUGAGGUCCCUGUUGCUGCGUGAACUGGCUUGUUUUUCCCAUUUUCGGCGACCGGCCUCAAAACAGACAGAAAAGCCCUUCUCAUGCCUGUGACUGCCGUGACUUGGGGCUGGCAAGCAGGGGCCCAGGGUGCUCACUGAGCCUCGUUUGCUUUGUCCAUCAGAGGCACAUUUCAGGUUAAUGGCGUCUGCAGAUGCAAGCACAGGCUGCAAAUGGAACAUUCCAGAGGAAGCAAAGGAGGCGGAGAGGCCUCUAUGCUCCCUGCUUGGGUUUCUUUAAUGUGUCUGACCUUCAAAAAGACAGUGCAGGCUUUCUCACCUCGGAGCCAGAGAUCUAAAUGUCACAAUGAAGUACAAAGAUGUUAAUCUGAGCCUAACUGGAAUGGCAAAAACUAGAGGAAAAGAGAAACAAAGAGUUCUCACUCUCUCUCUGGAUAUAUAUGUACAUCCACAUAUAUAUCUGUAUAUAUAAAAUCAAUAUGAAGCCUUUAAAAAUCAGGU